RNAcentral lists this ribosomal RNA (421 nucleotides) under Echinococcus granulosus. RNAcentral describes it as "partial small subunit ribosomal RNA". Lineage: Eukaryota; Metazoa; Platyhelminthes; Cestoda; Cyclophyllidea; Taeniidae. The record is from RNAcentral.
GUGCCAGCAUCUGCGGUUAAUCUGUUUUCUUUGCUUUUAUGUGGAUAGUGCGUAUUUAUUUAUGUUCAAUGUUAGGUUAAAUUUUUUUGUGUUAGUGUUUAGUAAGUAAAUUUUGUGGUGAUAUAUAUGAUGACAGGGAUUAGAUACCCCAUUAAUGUAUUUUUAAAAUGUUGUCCUGGUUUUGUAACUAAAAUGGUUUGGCAGUGAGCGAUUCUUGUUAGGGGAAGAUGCAUAGUAAAGGAUGGUCCACCUAUUAUUUUGCUCUUGUUAUGUUGGUGUAUAUCUGGUUUGAUAUUAUCGUUUAAUGGUUUGAGUUUGUGUAGUUUUAGUUAAGCCAAGUCUAUGUGCUGCUUAUAGGAGUUUUUGUGUGUUACAUUAAUAAGGGUGUUAUUGUAAUAUGAUAUUAUUUAGGACUUAAUAG